UACGAAGGGGGCUAGCGUUGCUCGGAAUCACUGGGCGUAAAGCGCACGUAGGCGGCUCUUUAAGUCGGGGGUGAAAUCCUGGAGCUCAACUCCAGAACUGCCUUCGAUACUGAGGAUCUCGAGUCCGGGAGAGGUGAGUGGAACUCCGAGUGUAGAGGUGAAAUUCGUAGAUAUUCGCAAGAACACCAGUGGCGAAGGCGGCUCACUGGCCCGAUACUGACGCUGAGGCACGAAAGCGUGGGGAGCAAACAGG
This 253-nucleotide ribosomal RNA is filed under the name uncultured bacterium. RNAcentral describes it as "partial 16S ribosomal RNA". It matches the Rfam family "Bacterial small subunit ribosomal RNA", at positions 524 to 776 of the family's 1533-position model. The record is from RNAcentral.